CCUACGGGUGGCAGCAGUGAGGAAUAUUGCUCAAUGGACGGAACCCUGAUCCAGCCACGUCGCGUGAAUGAAGACUGCCUUAUGUGUGUAAAGCUCUUUUUGUAAAGGAAUAGGACUAGGCACCUGUGCAUUUUUCCAUGUACUUUAUCUAUAAGGCUCCGCUAACUACGGGCCAGCAGCCGCCGUAAUACGGCGGAUCCGAGCGUUAUCCGGAUUUAUUGGGUUUAAGGGGAGCGUAGAUGGGUCGUUAAGUCAGGUGUGAAAGUUUGGGGCUCAACCGCAGAAUUGAAAUUGAGACUGGCAGGCUUGAGUACAGGUGAGGUAAGCGGAAUUCGUGGUGUAGCGGUGAAAUGCGUAGAGAUGAGGAAGAACACCGAUGGCGAAGGCAGCUUACUAAACUGUGACUGACAUUGAUGCUCGAAAGUGUGGGUAGCAAACAGGAUUAGAUACCCCAGUAGUC
RNAcentral lists this ribosomal RNA (460 nucleotides) under uncultured bacterium. Its description in RNAcentral is "partial 16S ribosomal RNA". It matches the Rfam family "Bacterial small subunit ribosomal RNA", at positions 338 to 795 of the family's 1533-position model. The record is from RNAcentral.